UCUCCUCCCCUUUUCGCAUUCACCAACCAAAAUUUCUCUACAAAUUAAAUAACACUUCGAAGAAUCAAAAGCCUGCAUGAAGAGGAAGCAUUAAGUAGGAACCCAACAUCAUAUAUCUUCACAUUAUUCUUUCAAAAUGCGAAUCAAGGUAUGAAAUUUUAAACCCUAUAAUUUUUGCAUUUUGGGGAUUUUUCAAUUCUUGAACUUAGCAUGAAUUUUGUGAAGAAAAAUGUGGAGAAUAUAACUACAUUGAUUGAUGGGAGUUGGAAGAUGUCUUUUGUUUGCCAAAAAUUACGAAAAAACAAAUAAUCCUUACACUUUUUUUUCCUUCGAACCCUGUCAUAGUUGAAACUCGAUUUUGGUCCCCCGCCGUAACUGUAGCUUAGAAAAUGAUGAUUCCCAACUGAAAUUCGUUGAAGUAGUAACCAGUAAAAAAUAGAAAAUAGAAUAGGGAAGGGGAAAACGAGAAAAUAAGAAGAAUGAAGGUGAGAAAAGCUAUUGAUUCAAUUAACAAUUUCACUAAAAUUUUGCAGAAAACAUUACACAGACCCGGCUUCCUCCCACAUGGUUGUACAUAUACAAGUAACUAAAUAUAAAGUCGCGCUUUCCAAACCCAGAAGUAGAAGACAUUUUUUAACAAAUAACAACAAUUUAUUUCAAGUAAAACAACUCCGUAUGGACUUAAUAAAAAAUGACAUCGCAGGCACUUUCAAUUCUAGUUACCGCCAUUGGUUUUUUCUCCUCUAUUUUUCAUCCUCUGUUUUGCUUUUAGACCCUUCUUUCCCCAUUGAUCUCCCUCGUGACAACCCUUUUCCUCACCUUGAUCUUGUCCCCAAGAUCUUUAAACAGGAAACUAGGCCUUAAUCCAAUCAGCAUCUUUCCAUGUCACAUUUUUUGGUGGUAGCAGAUCUGACCAAUGAAUGAGCUAUUGUUCUGCUAUUCGAUUUAUACGCUUCACUAUUUUGUAUUGUAGGAUUGCAAGGAGAUAAUGACCUACCUGUAGUGGCUGCUUUUCUUCAAGGAGUCGUAGGACUGGCAUUAUGUUGUCACCAAGUUUUUUCUUCAAUAGUGAAACAUGGAAGACUUGUUGAAUUUUGAAGCCUCUAGGUUGUGCCAUUUGCUAAGCCACUGUCCCUACUUUCCUAGUAAUCUAUGAAAGGUUUUCCUUUAACUGAUGGUUUAAUUUGUAUAUCCACAUCUCCACAACUAGUCUCUUUAUGUUUGUAUUCUGGAUAAAAGGAUGCCUAUAAAGUCCGAUUUUGAAUGGUUGUUCACCCUCUUUCAAUGGGAUAUGGUGGUCCUAUGACCUAGGAGGAGGUAACCAUGCUGGCUCUUCAAACACCUUUGGAAAUCUUUUGAUGACCUCCAACACUUGGUUGGGCAUAUUCCCACCCUUUUCGUCCUUGAUAUGACAUAGUCGUCCCACUAUCCCAUAAGAGUCCUUUCUAAAUAUUCUUCCCAUCUCCUUAAUCCCCAUCAUCUUGGCAGGACAUUUAGACAUCCCACUCUUCAAUUCUAUCAUUUCACCAUUACUCCUCAACUGAAUGCACUCUUGUACAAAAUCAAAUGUGAUUGGACCAAAUUGGCUCAUCCAAUUUACCCCUAGUACCAUGUCACUCCAUGUUAGCUUAAGUGUCCUAAGUUUGUAUUGAAAUUCCCAUCCCUGUAUCUCCCACAUCACUGGGUGACCCAAGGCUUUACUUUCCACUUUCUCCCCAUUGUCUACCUUAACUGUAACCUGGUUAGGUUCAUCAAUGGCAUAUUUCAACUCCUCGACUAGUUUUUCAUCAACGAAACUAUGGGUGCUCCCACAGUCAAUUUGUAUGGAGACUUUCCUCCCUUUGAUCACUCCAGGAACUCUAAUGGUUUGGUGUUGCCAACUUGUAGCCAAUGCAUUAACGGAUAUCUCCAUGAUCUCUUUACCUCCUAAGUCUCUGGCAAACUCAUCUUCAUUUGGUCCCAGUUGUUUAAUUUUGCUAAAUGUCUCAAUCACUCUCAAUAGUUUCUGAAAACCUCUUACAAAGUUCAUUAGAAAAGAAACUCCAAUCCUACCCAGGAUGGUUUGCAAUGAAUCCAUAAAACCAUAUAUAAGCUUUCCCUUCCAAACACUUCUCAACCAUUCAUAGCCUUAGUUCAUCAGAAACCUGAUGGAGUUGGAAGUAGUUUCCCGCUUUCGACAGCCAUUCUCUAGGUUAGGUUCUUCUCCCUUAAACCGAGAGAGAUCAUUUUUAGGGAGUCUAUCAUUUCCAUUAAAUUCACCUCUAGCAUGAACAUCAUUCACAUUACUACUAUACCCAUGUGUAGUUAUCACACUCCCAGAAUUGAAAUCAACAUUAGGCCUCUCUAUUCCUUUAUUUUUUUGAUCUAUUUUCAAAUUUAAAGACAUUUGGGUCAUCAUGGCCACUAAAUUUUCGUAUUUCUGAUUCAAGUCCAACAAGACACCCUCAAAUUUUUCUUGCCUAUGAACAAGUACCUUGAGUGUUUGAUUUAUGAAAUCCAAUUUAUUCUCCAACGUGCUAGUAAGGGCUUUAAAGGAUAUAUCUAAAUCCCCUAUUUCUAAAUCCGGCAUCGUCAAGUGCUCGUCCACCAUUUUAGCUCUAGUAUCCAUGAUUAGAAUUUGCCCAGUAGUGUACGCCUGCUCUGGUACCAUUUGUUACGGUUGGAACUUGGUUUUGGUCUCUAUCAUAACUGUAGCUUAGAAAAUGAUGAUUUCCAACUAAAAUUUGCUGAAUUAGUAACCAAUAAAAAAUACAAAAUAGAAUGGGGAAGGGGAAAACGAGAAAGUAAGAAGAAUGGAGGAGAGAAAAACAGUUGAUUCAAUCAACAAUUUCACUGAAAUUUUGCAAAAAAAGUCACACAGACCUUGACUUCCUCUCACAUGGCUGUAAAUAGACAAGUAUCUAAAUAUAAAGUCGUGUUUUCCAAACCCAGAAGUAGAAGAUGGAUUUUAAAAAAUAACAACAAUUUAUGUCAAGUAAAACAACACUGUAUGGAUAUGAAGGUUUUAGGCUGCUACAAUUCUUGAGCCCAACAUUGUGCCUAAUCCAGCUAGUACUAUACGACCCACUUAUUUGAUCCAGUAAGCUGAAGAUUCGAGAUUGAAAGAAAUCGUGUUUUGAAAAUGCAACUUUACUUAUAUAAUGUGAUUUUGGCUGGAUGAUUGACACCUAACAAACUGGGGACUGUUGGAUCAACAUAUUGGCUUCUUUUCUUAAAAAUACUAGAGCUUGACUUUUGGGGUGGCAUUCGUUUGAAGGCUAACCCUAAUCUCUUGACUACUCCUCUCUUCUCUAUGCGAACGUUCAUCUUCUGUGAUGAAUCUGAUGUAUUUUUUGAGUGAAAUCAUAUUAGUGUUUAGAGAGUGAAGAGAUCUAUUCCUUUGUGGAAAUAUAUUGUAAUCUUGAGGGUGAUUUGUGUGUUCGAGGGGCAGAAACUUUGUUUUCAUUCUGUACUUGUAACUUUGCCUGGUUUUUGAAAUGAUCUAGUGGAUUCGAGCAAAGAUCCUAAUGGAUGCUCAACAGGGAGUAGGCAUUAGCCGAACCUCGGGGCCUUGGGCCGAAAAUUACUUUGUGUUCUUAUUUUUCUUGCAAUCUAUUUUCAGUACUUUACACUUAAACUUCAAACGAGUCACAAAAAUACUUGUCUGGGACCAACAUGGACUUAAUAAAAAUGACAUCGCAGGCACUUUAAAUUCCAGUUACCGUCAUUGGUUUCUUCUCCUCUAUUUUCCUCCUUUGUUUUGCUUUGAGACCCUUCUUUUCCCAUUGAUCUCCCUCAUGACAAACCCGAUUUUGAAUUCACCUUUGGGAAUCUUUGAAAUUCAAAUUUUUGGUAUAUGUAAGUGAUUCAUUGAUGGAGUUUGGGAAUAAGAAUAGAUGUUGAAGGAUAUGGGUUUUGGUCAUCUGCAAACAUUGGGAUCAAACACCUCCCAACUUCAUCAAAUUCAAAGUGGACUUUUCAUGAAUACAAAUUAUUCGAUGAAAAUCCACAUUGAACUUUACAUUCUAAUUUUUGCACCGAAUUCAAACAAUAAUGAGUCUAAAGAUUACUUGGUGGUGUUAAAAAUUUUGCAUUUGUAUUAGAAUCAAGGAUUUUUUUACACAAACACAUGCAAAGGACUGCAUCCCCUACGUUUCUUGCCUUUGUCCCUCUGCCCUCCAUUUCGUCCCCUUGUUUAGUCUCCCUCCAUUCCCUAUUUUUGCAAGAAAUUUGAUGUGUUUGAAUAUUUUUCAUUGACUAUGGGUUUCUUAUGUAUUCCAUGAUUUUCAUUGCAGGUAAAUAUAACAUUAAACUUCGAAGACACCUUUAAAAGAGUAGAAAAGGAAAAAGGGAGAAGGGAAGUCAAAUAGAGAUUCUUCAAAUUUCAGCUAUACGUCAAUCAUCCUAUUAAUAUGUGACGAGUCUUGGUGACUUUCGAUUAUAAAUUGCUCCACAUUAAGGACAACGUAGAAAUUAAGUUUGGGGUGUAGUUUAGUUGUUUGCUAUAAUUGCUUGUUCGUAUCAUAUACGUAUAAAAAAGUUGCAAAAGUUGGAAAAUUUUAAAGAUAUUUUGAUUAGUGUCUAAAAGUGCUUCAAAGAUAUAUAAUUUAUAAGGC
RNAcentral lists this long non-coding RNA (4595 nucleotides) under Olea europaea (common olive). Its description in RNAcentral is "long non-coding RNA (OEUR_LNC014003)". The record is from RNAcentral. Lineage: Eukaryota; Viridiplantae; Streptophyta; Magnoliopsida; Lamiales; Oleaceae.